GCACUGCUGAGGAGUCCCAUACUAGGACCAAACGGUCGUCCAGUGC
Molecule: non-coding RNA, 46 nt
Organism: Schistosoma haematobium
Lineage: Eukaryota; Metazoa; Platyhelminthes; Trematoda; Strigeidida; Schistosomatidae
Source: Rfam